Molecule: long non-coding RNA, 1267 nt
Filed under: Capra hircus (goat)
Lineage: Eukaryota; Metazoa; Chordata; Mammalia; Artiodactyla; Bovidae
Description: lncRNA (ENSCHIG00000002129.1)
Source: RNAcentral
CCUACUUCUCUGAGUUGUCUCUCAUCUCCAACAGCCUUUCCCAGAUGUCAAAUCUCUGUGCUCUCCCCCUCCCUUUUCUCUCCCUACCCUCCCACCUUUGUUCCUGUGACUUCACUGUUAGAACUCCACAGCUGGAACUUCCCUCAAACCUUCCAUUCGGUGUCUACUCAUCCUGCGCUCUCUCGGCAGCUUUUACUAAAGAGCCUGACGACUUCAUAAUUCAUGCCCUGAUGUCAUCUAGCCCAGGUCAAAACAAAGGUGUCUUUUUACAUACAUACGCCAUAUUCACCUUCAACACCAGUUUCAACAUGCUAUGUCCAGGGAGACUUAAAAUAACAAAACUAUUACAUCAUCUGUGUUUAGCAAGCAUUUCGCUGACAGCAGAAUUAUCAGCAUCAUGCCCAUGCUACAGAUGGGAACGCUUGUGCUUGUAUUACACAUCUUGUCCUCUGUUCUUUACAUUUGGAACAGCCAGGGGACGCCUUCAUGGCUCAUUUUUGGGCUUACUUCCCAUGGAAUUUCCUAACCUCAUCCCUCUGAGUCUCAUUCCUCAAGCUGGCUUCAUUCAAACUAAAGGAUUCUCAGGCGGACCACUCCUCCCAGGCAAAGGCACGGAUGUGCGUUUUCAGAAGGACCUUCAAAGUCUUAACACAAGGAGGACUGUCAUAGAGAGUCGGAUGACGUGAGCGCCAGCUGCUCACAAGUAGAGGCACAUCCGGUGCGAGAACUUGAGCAGUAGGAACCUACAGGACGCCAGGCCGGGAGGCGGGGGGCAGAGCGCCCACUAGUGGGCGGACCACGGUGAAGCAAGGUAACGCCGAAUCACACUGAUACGGUGCCAUUACGGACUGGAUGGCCGCGAGUCUGAGUGAACUCCGGGAGAUGGUGAUGGAAAGGAGGCCUGGCGUGCUGCGAUUCAUGGGGUCGCAAAGAGUCGGACAAGACUGAGCGACUGAACUGAGCUGAACUGAGCCAAGAGAGAGGAGCGUAACACGCUCAAGAGUUAAUGGUAGAGAAAUGGAAAGACUCUUUCCUUCUGUUUAAGAGUGGAGCAAAGGCCUAUAAGGCCAGGAGGAAAUACCCAACUGGAAAGUGAAAGGGUAACCAACAAAAACCUAUUCUAUAGCACAUGGAACUCUACUCAAUGUCAUGUGCCAGCCUGGAUGGGAGCGGGGUUUGGGGGAGAAUGGAUACAUGUAUAUGUGUGGCUGAGUCACUUCACUGUUCCCCUGAAACUAUUACAUCAUUGUUAAUAAGCUAUACCCCC